Long non-coding RNA from Trachemys scripta elegans, 715 nucleotides. RefSeq lists it as uncharacterized. The record is from RefSeq and is a predicted model, not a curated record. Lineage: Eukaryota; Metazoa; Chordata; Testudines; Emydidae. The transcript is spliced from 3 exons.
GUGAAUGGGACCUGAUUCUCCACUGCCUUGUGCCUUGUGUAGUUGUAUACUCCUGCAUGGUGAGGGCAAAUGGGUGUAAAAUACCACCACAUCGGAACAGUGAGAGACAGAUGUUUCUGCAGAGGACAGGCUGUGAAUAGGGGACUCUAGACAGGGACACCUCCCAUGAGGUGCUGCUCCUGCAUCAUCCACUGGUCUAACUCAGGACCUGCUGCUUCCACUGAAGAUUCCUUUUCACGGCAUCAAUACCGUGGAUCUCCCACAAGUCCCUUCCAAAAGCUGUGGUGGUGGUGGUGGUGGUGGUGAGUGACUUCUCAUUUCUUAAAACAAAAUCUAGAAGAUGUGAUGCUAUGAACUUUUUGGAAAGAGUCUGUUGCUCUCUAACAUGGAAGCACUAUACCUGCUACACUUUGAGUCUAUUUGAAAUUGCCAGUUUGUCCUGCUUGGGUGAAUCUGGUGGCAGGUGAAGGAGGCCCUUAACAUACUUUAAGGUGGACUAUUCAUAUCAUUUCAUGGCACAUGAAACACCAGUGCAUACCUUUUUAUACCUUCACAUGGUCAAAGACUUCCUCACCAAACUCUGUAUGGAUCACUCUCGCAGUGCAUGGCCUUCUAUAGAGGACAUGAAGACAUAGUACCAGCCCCAAAGAGUUUACAGUCCACUUAGAUUUGACAUGAAAUGAUGCAGGGAGAUGUGAUAUCAGACCAGGAGGAG